GAGUGAAGAGGGAAGAGCUCAUCAUUGGAAUCUGGCAGUGUUUUCACUGUCCGAGUUGUAGAUGAGGAGUAGUCCAUCUGGACUGCAUGGCGUCCAAGUACAAUAGGCCGUCAGUGGGACAUCAUAGAGGGUGACAAUCCCGUCCUUGAUGCCAAUGUGCAAGUCCGUUACGAUGGCUAUCUCAGAGAGUCGAGCAGUUUGGGAUUUGCUGCUUAAACAUGGGAGGUAGAUUCCUUCUAAAGCUAAAUACAGGCGAGAGACCGAUAGAGAACAAGUACCGCAAGGGAAAGAUGAAAUAGCACUCUGUGAAGGGAGUCAAAAGACGUGAAAUUGUUGCGAGAGAAGCGAUUCAAGUCAGCGUAGCUAGGCCCAUCAAGCCUCUUGCUUUGGACUAGCUUUGCCAGCGGUCUUGUCCUAAGAGACUUGACUUGUUAAUAUGUCCAGCCUGGUAUGCACAGGUAGCCCCAUCGGGGCCAGUGACAUGGCUGGUGGAAUGGCUUGCAAUCGACCCGUCUUGAAACACGGACCAAGGAGUCUAACAUGUAUGCGAGUAUAAGGGUGGCAAACCCGUAUGCGCAAUGAAAGUGAUUUUCGGUGAUUGAGAAUGGCCUGAUGACCAGACAAGCAAUAUUAUGUCCCUCGUACGGCCAUUGCCCAAGUUCCGUGGUAGAUCCCACGAACAUGGAGUUGGAGCAUACAUGCUAGGACCCGAAAGAUGGUGAACUAUGCCUGGACAAAGCGAAGCCAAAGGAAACUNUGGUGGAGGCUUGUAGCGAUUCUGACGUGCAAAUCGAUCGUCUGAUCUGGGUAUAGGGGCGAAAGACUANUC
Molecule: ribosomal RNA, 829 nt
Filed under: Cantharellus formosus
Lineage: Eukaryota; Fungi; Basidiomycota; Agaricomycetes; Cantharellales; Hydnaceae
Description: LSU rRNA
Rfam family: Eukaryotic large subunit ribosomal RNA
Source: RNAcentral